Molecule: ribosomal RNA, 496 nt
Filed under: Sesarma rubinofforum
Lineage: Eukaryota; Metazoa; Arthropoda; Malacostraca; Decapoda; Sesarmidae
Description: partial 16S ribosomal RNA
Source: RNAcentral
GUCUGUUUGUAGAUAUAAAAAGUCUAGCCUGCCCACUGAUAAAUUUUAAAGGCCGCAGUAUUCUGACUGUGCAAAGGUAGCAUAAUAGUUAGUUUCUUAAUUAGAAUCUUGUAUGAAUGGUUUGACAAAAAAAAAUCUGUCUUUAUAAUUAUUUAUUGAAUUUAACUUUUAAGUGAAAAGGCUUAAAUAAAUUAAAAAGACGAUAAGACCCUAUAAAGCUUAAUAUUGUUUAUAUUAUUUAAUAAAAUUUUUAUUAAUAUAAAUAUUUGGUAAUAAUUAAUAUUUUAUUGGGGUGAUAAUAAUAAAAUGAUUAUUAACUGUUAAUUAAUUAAAACAAAAAUAAAUGAAUAAAAAUUAAAUAAAUGAUCCUAUAUUAAAGAUUAAAAGUUUAAGUUACUUUAGGGAUAACAGCGUUAUUUUUUUUAAGAGUUCUUAUCGAAAAAAAAGUUUGCGACCUCGAUGUUGAAUUAGAAUAUCUAUAUAAUUGUAGCAGUUA